UACGGGGGGGGCAAGCGUUGUUCGGAAUUACUGGGCGUAAAGGGUUCGUAGGUGGCUUGCUAAGUCAGACGUGAAAUCCCUCAGCUUAACUGGGGAACUGCGUCUGAUACUGGCGAGCUUGAGUGCAGGAGAGGAACGCGGAAUUCCAGGUGUAGCGGUGAAAUGCGUAGAUAUCUGGAGGAACACCGGUGGCGAAGGCGGGUCUCUGGGCCGAUACUGACGCUGAGGAGCGAAAGCGUGGGGAGCGAACAGG
This 253-nucleotide ribosomal RNA is filed under the name uncultured bacterium. RNAcentral describes it as "partial 16S ribosomal RNA". It matches the Rfam family "Bacterial small subunit ribosomal RNA", at positions 524 to 776 of the family's 1533-position model. The record is from RNAcentral.